This 429-nucleotide ribosomal RNA is filed under the name Acidobacteriota bacterium. RNAcentral's name for it is "Acidobacteria bacterium partial 16S ribosomal RNA". It matches the Rfam family "Bacterial small subunit ribosomal RNA", at positions 355 to 776 of the family's 1533-position model. Lineage: Bacteria; Pseudomonadati; Acidobacteriota. The record is from RNAcentral.
UGGGGAAUUUUGGACAAUGGGGGAAACCCUGAUCCAGCCAUCCCGCGUGUGCGAUGAAGGCCUUCGGGUUGUAAAGCACUUUUGGCAGGAAAGAAACGUCAUGGGUUAAUACCCCGUGAAACUGACGGUACCUGCAGAAUAAGCACCGGCUAACUACGUGCCAGCAGCCGCGGUAAUACGUAGGGUGCAAGCGUUAAUCGGAAUUACUGGGCGUAAAGCGUGCGCAGGCGGUUCGGAAAGAAAGAUGUGAAAUCCCAGAGCUCAACUUUGGAACUGCAUUUUUAACUACCGGGCUAGAGUGUGUCAUAGGGAGGUAGAAUUCCGCGUGUAGCAGUGAAAUGCGUAGAUAUGCGGAGGAACACCGAUGGCGAAGGCAGCCUCCUGGGAUAACACUGACGCUCAUGCACGAAAGCGUGGGGAGCAAACAGG